CCCUUAGAUGUUCUGGGCCGCACGCGCGCUACACUGACGAAUGCAACGAGCUUAUAACCUUGGCCGAAAGGUCUGGGUAAUCUCAAAUUUCGUCGUGAUGGGGAUAGAUUAUUGCAAUUAUUAAUCUUCAACGAGGAAUGCCUAGUAAGCGCAAGUCAUCAGCUUGCGUUGAUUACGUCCCUGCCCUUUGUACACACCGCCCGUCGCUCCUACCGAUUGAAUGGUCCGGUGAAGCGUUCGGACCGUGGCCUUUGGACGGUUCGCCGUCUGUUGGCUGCGGGAAGUUCGUUAAACCUUAUCAUUUAGAGGAAGGAGAAGUCGUAACA
Molecule: ribosomal RNA, 326 nt
Filed under: uncultured eukaryote
Lineage: Eukaryota
Description: partial 18S ribosomal RNA
Rfam family: Eukaryotic small subunit ribosomal RNA
Source: RNAcentral